RNAcentral lists this unclassified non-coding RNA (193 nucleotides) under soil metagenome. Its description in RNAcentral is "partial contains 5.8S ribosomal RNA, internal transcribed spacer 2, and large subunit ribosomal RNA". The record is from RNAcentral.
AACGCACGAGACCUGCGGACCUGCGGAGGGAUCAUUACCGAGUUAUCCAACUCCCAACCCCUGUGAAUUAUACCUUUAAUUGUUGCUUCGGCGGGACUUCGCGCCCGCCGGGGACCCAAGCCUUCUGAAUUUUUUAAUAAGUAUCUUCUGAGUGGUUAAAAAAAUGAAUCAAAACUUUUAACAAUGGAUCUCU